GCCCAUGUGGUGGAAUUGGCAGACACGCUAGACUUAGGAUCUAGUGCCGCAAGGCGUGGGGGUUCGACUCCCUCCAUGGGCACCA
RNAcentral lists this transfer RNA (85 nucleotides) under Bdellovibrio sp. RNAcentral describes it as "tRNA-Leu". It matches the Rfam family "tRNA". From Rfam's summary of the family: Transfer RNA (tRNA) molecules are approximately 80 nucleotides in length. Lineage: Bacteria; Pseudomonadati; Bdellovibrionota; Bdellovibrionia; Bdellovibrionales; Pseudobdellovibrionaceae. The record is from RNAcentral.